CGGUCAAGUCGACGCACAGCGAAAGGUGCUUGCACCUUUCAAGUGAGUGGCGAACGGGUGAGUAACACGUGGACAACCUGCCUCAAGGCUGGGGAUAACAUUUGGAAACAGAUGCUAAUACCGAAUAAAACUUAGUGUCGCAUGACACAAAGUUAAAAGGCGCUUCGGCGUCACCUAGAGAUGGAUCCGCGGUGCAUUAGUUAGUUGGUGGGGUAAAGGCCUACCAAGACAAUGAUGCAUAGCCGAGUUGAGAGACUGAUCGGCCACAUUGGGACUGAGACACGGCCCAAACUCCUACGGGAGGCUGCAGUAGGGAAUCUUCCACAAUGGGCGAAAGCCUGAUGGAGCAACGCCGCGUGUGUGAUGAAGGCUUUCGGGUCGUAAAGCACUGUUGUAUGGGAAGAACAGCUAGAAUAGGAAAUGAUUUUAGUUUGACGGUACCAUACCAGAAAGGGACGGCUAAAUACGUGCCAGCAGCCGCGGUAAUACGUAUGUCCCGAGCGUUAUCCGGAUUUAUUGGGCGUAAAGCGAGCGCAGACGGUUUAUUAAGUCUGAUGUGAAAGCCCGGAGCUCAACUCCGGAAUGGCAUUGGAAACUGGUUAACUUGAGUGCAGUAGAGGUAAGUGGAACUCCAUGUGUAGCGGUGGAAUGCGUAGAUAUAUGGAAGAACACCAGUGGCGAACGCGGCUUACUGGACUGCAACUGACGUUGAGGCUCGAAAGUGUGGGUAGCAAACAGGAUUAGAUACCCUGGUAGUCCACACCGUAAACGAUGAACACUAGGUGUUAGGAGGUUUCCGCCUCUUAGUGCCGAAGCUAACGCAUUAAGUGUUCCGCCUGGGGAGUACGACCGCAAGGUUUGAAACUCAAAGGAAUUGACGGGGACCCGCACAAGCGGUGGAGCAUGUGGUUUAAUUCGAAGCAACGCGAAGAACCUUACCAGGUCUUGACAUCCUUUGAAGCUUUUAGAGAUAAAAAGUGUUCUCUUCGGAGAACAAGUGACAGGUGUGCAUGGUCGUCGUCAGCUCGUGUCGUGAGAUGUUGGGUUAAGUCCCGCAACGAGCGCAACCCUUAUUGUUAGUUGCCAGCAUUCAGAUGGGCACUCUAGCGAGACUGCCGGUGACAAACCGGAGGAAGGCGGGGACGACGUCAGAUCAUCAUGCCCCUUAUGACCUGGGCUACACACGUGCUACAAUGGCGUAUACAACG
Molecule: ribosomal RNA, 1208 nt
Filed under: Leuconostoc pseudomesenteroides
Lineage: Bacteria; Bacillati; Bacillota; Bacilli; Lactobacillales; Lactobacillaceae
Description: partial 16S ribosomal RNA
Rfam family: Bacterial small subunit ribosomal RNA
Source: RNAcentral